Molecule: long non-coding RNA, 3798 nt
Filed under: Bos taurus (domestic cattle)
Lineage: Eukaryota; Metazoa; Chordata; Mammalia; Artiodactyla; Bovidae
Description: long non-coding RNA NONBTAT000582
Source: RNAcentral
CUCUGGCUGCAGAGGUCAAAAGCUGAUGAACCUGGAGGAGAAGGAUGGGCCGGGCAGAUCUCACCACUGUGAAUGAAUUUGUCCAGAUUUUUUUAAUCUAAAGUUGCUUCCCUUGGAAAGAUACACUUGAGAGGACAUCUUAGUUAAAUAAUGUGAAUUGUAACAGUCUACUGGUUUAUUUUUCGUAUUUUUUAAUUGCAAAUUGAGCUUGCAGAAAUUGCCACAUUCUGCAUAUAGUUUUAAUUUUAACUCCAAAUCCAGAAUCUGUAUUUAAUUUCAGCUUUUUUAACCUCAAGCUUUUUAAAUUUUAUUUAUUGAUGCAUGUGAGAUAGGCCAUGAUGAUUUUAGAUGGUAGGAAUAUUAAAAACUACACAUCAAAAUGAUAUAAACAGUCACUUGUACCUGCUGACUUUAUAGGAAAACUGAUUAUAUAAAUGUGUGUAUAUGUGUUAUAUACAUAGAUUCAGUACUGCCUUUUGUUUGGGUUUUUUUUUGUUUUGUUCUGUCUUUCUGUUUUUGUCCACAAUAUCAAAAUUGACUAGUUGAAGCAUGAGGAUGUUUCCCCCUACACCUAGUUAAGAGUUUUUGUUUUCUUCAUAUAAUCAGUGAACAGUGUAAGACUCAGUCUCUGUUUUUGAAGAAAAAGCAAUAUUCCUUGGAAAGCAAGGAGAAUUGAAGGAUUACGUUGGCAGUAAGGGAAUAGAUUUUCACAGCUGGUUUGUCUUAUAUUUUUAAGGUUGACAUCUAUGUGGGCCUUAUAUACUCUAAAAUGAACCUUAGACACCUUGGUGCUUAUGGGCCAUUACUUGACCUAUGAAUCUUUAAGGCACAAUCAGUUGUACUUUACAUUUAAAGAUCACUUGAGUGAUGGCCGCCUUUCCCGCCUACCUUCCUUCCUUCCCCACACACCUUUCCAAGGUUAGCUGAUAACUGUAGGGCUGCAGAGCUGAGCCCCAGACUGUGUGUAACCUUUUACCCUCCUUGUCACCUUCGGUCAUGUUAGGAGCUUCGCCCUCCAGGUGAUUCGGAAGUGGAGUCUCUUGGCAGCCCUCACGCAGGUUCCGGCACCCUGUCCUGCUUCUUAACCAAGUGUGUGUGACUCUCCAAGAGAGUCGUACUGCCUGCUGACAUGAACCAGUACCCAGAGAGGCACCUGUGAGCCAUCCUAGUUUUCACUCACUGUCUAGCUAAGCUCUUAAGCCACAGAAGGGUUUCUCCAACCUCUGGUUAUAUCAGAGUUCGUGAGAAAGGAAACACACUCACUCAAACCAAAUCAAACCAAUUGCAUUUUACUUUUCAUAAUGAGCUUCUGAGAGCAAAUUAAGAUUUGAAAGAAGUCUGAAUCAAAGUAUUUGACAGCAUUAAUUCUUAAAGGGAAUGGCUUUGAUAGACCAUUUCAGAAAGGGUUUAUAAAGAAUCUGGAUGGCAGGUCUGUGACAGAGAAGUGGACCUACUUUGAGACCAAACUACCCAGCCAAACAUGUGGACACAGACAGUACUCUGAACUUGAUAUACUUGCUGGAGAAUGUAAAAAUCUGUGCUUCUUUUAGGAAACACUUUCCCCCGUAAAUGGGGUAAGAGAAGAGAGAAAAGUCAAGUUUUUCUCUCAUUUUAAUUGUGUGUGUGUGAGGGCUGAGGUUCGUGAUUUUUCUUUCUCAAGGAUCAUGGUGGGAUCACAGAACUCUUUUAUACAAGUGGGAUCCAGGUCUCUGAAUAAUGUUUUUUGUAAAUAAUAAUAAUAAAAGCUCCUCACCAAAUUCAAGCUUGUACAUUAUAUUUUCUUUCAAUGUUUUUAAAUUUAAGUUCUAUUGUUUUGUAUGUAAAUAUGUGGACCCAGGAACUGUUAUUAAUGAGCAAAAAGUUACUGUUCAGGGCAGUGAUUCUGUUUAAUAAUCAGACAAAUUGUAGACGAGCUUUUUAAAGCCAUAUAGUUUUAACUCUGUACAGUAGGUACCGGCCUGUAUUAUUGUAACAAUAACUCUAGCAAUGUAUAGUGUAUCUAUAUAGUUUGGAGUGCCUUCGCUUCCAUGUGUUUGUUUUUUUGUUUCCGUUUUUCAUUUUGCAGAUAUUAAUUGGUCUCGAUAUCCAUGUCUCCCUGUCCCACCCCCUUCCCUUUGAAAUAGUGGCUCACUCAUAACAGUGUCUUUGCCCCUUCCACAGUUAACCAUGCUCAGGAGUGGAAAGAGGAAACCAUAAUCAUUUUCUUAAUCUCAUUUCAUUCAAGCCCUACCUUUGUUUUGGUUCUGAACAUCUGUUUCCUCCUCAGUAGCAGUGACCAGUUCCAUUUCAUCCAGGGACUUAGUGUAGUGCCAGGGAGCCCUCUAGCCGGAGAAUAUGGAAUAGAGUAGAUUUUGCUCGUCUCUUCCCCCAAACCCUAACCAUGGGUCUUACAGACAGCAGAUUCCGGGAGCCUUCUGCCCUCUCUCUCUCUCUCUCCGUUUCAUCUACUUCCCUCCCAAAUGAGAGAAAAAAGAGAGAGAGAGAAUUGGUUUUUGUAAAUCGAUGUUUCUUAAUACUUGUAUCAGUUUUGAUACACGAGUGGUCUAAAAUGCUGUGGUGCAAUUACUAGUGGCCGCUGCACGAUUGCCGCCCACGCGGUGGGGACUUGUUUUCACAAGGGAACUUUCCUCCCUCCUGUCACCUCUACCCCUGUUCAAUGAAAUGUCAUUUUAAUUUAUCUUUUUAAAAAAUCUGUUUCUUACUGUGUGCCCAUCAUGAAGGCCUUUUUCGAAAGAAAAAAAAAAAAAUCAAAAUUACUUGUUUUGCCUCCAAGUACUCCAUACAAGAUGUCUCAAGUAGAAGAAGAAGAAAAAAAAAAAACUUUACCAAACCAAAGCUUGCUAUUUUUGAAAUAUCAUGUGUUCAUUCCAGCAAGGCAGAAGACUGCACCUUCUUUCCAGCAACGUGUUGUGUCCUUUUUUUCAAGUCCUCUUAAUUUUUAGACACAUAUUUUUUGUGUUUUAACAAAGCCUGCCUAACCAGUCAUCUUGUCUGCACCAAUGCAAAGGUUUCUAAGAGGACUAUUGUAUUCUCUAUCCCUGUGGAUAUAAAGACACUGGCAUUUCAUUUCUUUUUCCCUUUCCUUUUUAAGGGAUUUAACUUUGGAAUCUUCCAAAGGAAGUUUGGCCAAUGCCAGAUCCCCAGGAGCUUGGGGGUUUUUGUUUUAAACCAAAAUUGUAUCUGAUUUCUCAUUCAUGUUAGUUGAUCAUCUAAUCACAGAGUCAAACACUUUCUCUCUUAUAUCCCUUAUAUAGAAAAAUAAACUAAGUAUGCUUUACAGUAAAAUCUGUCUUUUCUGGUAGAAACCUGAGCCACUGAAAAUAAGACAACUAGAAGCAGAGUAGAGCCCCAGACUAAGGUCUGUGUUUGAGAGGCUUUGGAAGUAAUCUCUGGGGUUUGGAUUAUUUUCACAAGGGUUAUGACGUUUUAUUCAAGUUUGUUGCUCCAUUUGCACCUCUGCAAUAAAAGCAAAAUGACAACCAGUACAUAAGGGGUUAACUUGACAAAGUAGACUUCCUUGUGUUGAUUUUUAAGUUUUUUUUUUCUUACUAUAUCUGUCUACAGGCAGAUACAGAUAGAUGUAUGAAAAUGUGCUUGCCUGUAAAAUUUGCAUUCAUAAAUGUGUUGCCGAUGGAUCACUUGGGCCUGUAAACAUACCAAUUAGCGUGACCACUUCCAUCUUAAAAUCAAAUCUAAAAAACAAAAUUUAUUAUUCGUUCUAUGUGACUUGGUUUGGAAAUAGUUAACUGGUACUGUAAUUUGCAUUAAAUAAAAAGUAGGUUAGCCUGGAAAUGAAAU